This 301-nucleotide ribosomal RNA is filed under the name uncultured bacterium. Its description in RNAcentral is "partial 16S ribosomal RNA". It matches the Rfam family "Bacterial small subunit ribosomal RNA", at positions 509 to 807 of the family's 1533-position model. The record is from RNAcentral.
CAGCCGCCACGGGAAUACGAAGGGGGCUAGCGUUGUUCGGAUUUACUGGGCGUAAAGGGCGCGUAGGCGGGCGAGUCAGUCGGGGGUGAAAUCCCAAGGCUCAACCUUGGAACUGCCUUUGAUACUGUUUGUCUUGAGUUCGAGAGAGGUAAGUGGAACUGCGAGUGUAGAGGUGAAAUUCGUAGAUAUUCGGAAGAACACCAGUGGCGAAGGCGGCUCACUGGCUCGGUAUUGACGCUGAGGUGCGAAAGCGUGGGGAGCAAACAGGAUUAGAUACCCCAGUAGUCCCUGUCUCUUAUAC